Molecule: long non-coding RNA, 1035 nt
Filed under: Betta splendens (Siamese fighting fish)
Lineage: Eukaryota; Metazoa; Chordata; Actinopteri; Anabantiformes; Osphronemidae
Description: lncRNA (ENSBSLG00000009703.1)
Source: RNAcentral
AUGUACUGUCUGAAAGAGCAACGACCUACAAAAAAUAAAGGUGAGAUUUUUAAAAAUAUAUUUUUUUGUGUCUAUGUGCCUGUGUGUGUAUGUGUGUGUGUCUGUGCCUGUGUCUGCAUGUCUGCGUGUGUGUGUCUGCCUGUGUUUGUAUGUCUGUGUCUGUGUCUGCAUGUUUUGUUUUUUUUUUUUUGCUUUACCUCUGAAAGGUACCAGUUGCUCGUCCACCGUCACGUUAGGACCCGGGUCGUAGAGGCUGGGCAGCCGCUCCACCCACGCGUCCCAGACCUCUCUCACGGCUGCCAGUUUGUCCGUCGCUCGCCUGGCGGGUCUAGUUUGGCGAUCGUCGAAACGCAACAGCUUCGAGUAAGCGUGAAACACCUUGAGCGACAUCGUGGCGCGAAAAAUGGCCCUGCCGCUCUCGGCGUCCCACAGGCUGGCCACGGCCUCCCCUCGGGACCUGUAGACGCCGGACAAAAUCAGGAGGCCCAAGUAGGCUCGCAGGUCGACCUCGUCCAUGCCCUUCCAGGCGCUCCCGAGCUUUCGAGAGCCCUCCAGGUUGGUGUUCUCCAGGACGAUCCUUUCCACCGCCGGGGUCACAAACAUGCGGAAGGUCGAUUCAAAGUCGACCGCCUGAGCCGCCGCGUACUCUGUGGGUCCCUGGGCAGAAAGAGGACUAAGAGGGACGUUCCUCGCUUCCUCGCCGUUGCGAAACACAGCGGAGGACCAUUUUAUUUUCCCGUCUUUAGAGAUAAAAGUUUUAUCUUCUUCUUUUUCUUCUUCUUCAUCCUCAUCCUCGAGUUCUAUUUGCUCCAGUCUUUGCACGUUUUCUAUUAUUUCAUCAUCAUCUUCAUCAUCAUCAUCAUCAUCAUCAUCAUCAUUAUAUUCUUCAUCAUCAACUUCUUCAUCAGCUGUCUUUUUGUCCUUCAUCUGUUUCUGGUCCUGCUGUAUCUGCUUCUUCUGCUUCUCCUUUUUCUUUCUCUUCUUCACUUGACACGUCUUCCUCAGAUUCCUCUUCUGAUUCAGAGUCGUCAUUAG